AAGUCGUAACAAGGUUUCCGUAGGUGAACCUGCGGAAGGAUCAUUAAAGAGUUAGGGUCUUUCAGGCCCGACCUCCCAACCCUUUGUUUAUUGAACCAUUGUUGCUUCGGUGGGCCCGUCUCACGACCGCCGGGGGUUUAACCUCCCCUGGCCAGUGCCCGCCGAUGGCCCCUCUUUAAACACUUAUGAAUCGUGUCUCAUGCCUAAAUUAUGAUUAAAAAUCAAAACAAAACUUUCAACAACGGAUCUCUUGGUUCUG
Molecule: unclassified non-coding RNA, 259 nt
Filed under: air metagenome
Description: partial contains small subunit ribosomal RNA, internal transcribed spacer 1, and 5.8S ribosomal RNA
Rfam family: Eukaryotic small subunit ribosomal RNA (bases 1-46)
Source: RNAcentral